RNAcentral lists this ribosomal RNA (478 nucleotides) under uncultured bacterium. RNAcentral's name for it is "partial 16S ribosomal RNA". It matches the Rfam family "Bacterial small subunit ribosomal RNA", at positions 28 to 523 of the family's 1533-position model. The record is from RNAcentral.
GACGAACGCUGGCGGCGUGCUUAACACAUGCAAGUCGAGCGAUGAAGCUUCUUCGGAAGUGGAUUAGCGGCGGACGGGUGAGUAACACGUGGGUAACCUGCCUCAUAGAGGGGAAUAGCCUUCCGAAAGGAAGAUUAAUACCGCAUAAGAUUGUAGCUUCGCAUGAAGCAGCAAUUAAAGGAGCAAUCCGCUAUGAGAUGGACCCGCGUCGCAUUAGCUAGUUGGUGAGGUAACGGCUCACCAAGGCGACGAUGCGUAGCCGACCUGAGAGGGGGAUCGGCCACAUUGGAACUGAGAAACAGCCCAGACUCCUACGGGAGGCAGCGGUGGGGAAUAUUGCACAAUGGGGGAAACCCUGAUGCAGCAACGCCGCGUGAGUGAUGACGGUCUUCGGAUUGUAAAGCUCUGUCUUCAGGGACGAUAAUGACGGUACCUAAGGAGGAAGCCACGGCUAACUACGUGCCAGCAGCCGCCGUAA